UGGGGAAUAUUGCGCAAUGGGCGAAAGCCUGACGCAGCGACGCCGCGUGAGGGAUGAAGGUCUUCGGAUCGUAAACCUCUGUCAGCAGGGAAGAAAUUUACAUGUGCUAAUCAACGUGUAAUUGACGGUACCUGCAAAGGAAGCACCGGCUAACUCCGUGCCAGCAGCCGCGGUAAUACGGAGGGUGCGAGCGUUAAUCGGAAUUACUGGGCGUAAAGCGCUCGUAGGUGGCAUAUCAAGUCAAGGGUGAAAUCCCCGUGCUCAACAUGGGAACUGCCUUUGAAACUGGUAAGCUGGAGUGUGUGAGAGGAUAGUGGAAUUCCAGGUGUAGGAGUGAAAUCCGUAGAUAUCUGGAGGAACAUCAGUGGCGAAGGCGACUAUCUGGCACAUAACUGACACUGAGGAGCGAAAGCGUGGGUAGCAAACAGGAUUAGAUACC
This 439-nucleotide ribosomal RNA is filed under the name uncultured bacterium. RNAcentral's name for it is "bacterial SSU rRNA". It matches the Rfam family "Bacterial small subunit ribosomal RNA", at positions 355 to 786 of the family's 1533-position model. The record is from RNAcentral.